This 371-nucleotide long non-coding RNA is filed under the name Capsella rubella. Its description in RNAcentral is "long non-coding RNA (CRUB_LNC004692)". Lineage: Eukaryota; Viridiplantae; Streptophyta; Magnoliopsida; Brassicales; Brassicaceae. The record is from RNAcentral.
UUUUGUUGUUGUUGUUAAGACAUUGCUGUUUAUUACAACUUACAAAGCGUUGAAGUUGAAUAUUUCUUCUCUUCCAAAUUAGUCGAUAUUACUCUCGAUCCAUCCACAAACAACUAUCAUAUUCCUUAUUUUCCCUAAUUCAUCGGAUGCACACUUUUUUUUUUCUCUCUAUAAUGAUGUGUGCGUGUGUUUUGGUAUUUGAAAAAAAAAAAAAAAAGAGGCUAAUUAACAUAUUAUAAUUCCGAAUCAUAUUUGGUCGUACAUAUUCUCAUUAUUUUAACUUAUUUGUUUUGUUCAAUUGGAUUGGCUGUUGACCUUUCAAGAUUUCAGAGUUGCGUGCUUGUUUUUCCGAUGGUUUGAAACAAUAUAUG